Dallia pectoralis (Alaska blackfish) is the source of this 76-nucleotide non-coding RNA. NCBI's taxonomy places the organism in Eukaryota, Metazoa, Chordata, Actinopteri, Esociformes, Umbridae. The record is from the annotation of a GenBank genome assembly.
GUUGGUGUAGCUCAAUGGUAGACUGCAUGCUUUGUAUGUAUGUAUGAUGUCCUGGGUUCAAUCUUCAGCUUCCCCC